Molecule: long non-coding RNA, 683 nt
Organism: Homo sapiens (human)
Lineage: Eukaryota; Metazoa; Chordata; Mammalia; Primates; Hominidae
Gene: CCDC26
Product: CCDC26 long non-coding RNA
Source: Ensembl
ACCCGCAGUCCUGGGCUUAGGUCUUACAACACAGGGAAAGCUGAUGGGAGUUCCUCCCGAGCUUAGUAGCGAGGCUAGAGAGAGACAGAAUGACAGAGAGAGAAAAUGAUUCUCUGCUGCCUGCAGAGCUGACAGCUGCUGCCUGAAUCUACUCAUCUGUGAGCCACAAAGGGGCAAAGUUUAAAGGAACAGCACUUCUUAGCUGUUCACAGUUCUACGAGGGCAGGGCAGAACAGGACCAGCUGGUGCCUACAGUCCAGUUACUUCUUUGCUCUGUCCCUGGGGUCGGAUCUCACCUGUUUUUGAUCUUUGGCACAUUUUCCUGCAAUGAUGAACGAGUGAGGCGGGCUGGGAGUGAAUAAGGAGACUUUUAGGUGUUGCCUCAGCUUCUCAAAGUUUCUGGUGUUUAUGAAGAUCCAUAACAGCUGGCUGCAAACCCAACUCCUGAGAAUCAUUUCUGGGAGAAUGCCGAAGACUGCAUUUCAACUUCAAGAAUGGCCUUUUACCGUUUAUCCGUUUGGAGCUUCCCCCAAGCACCCAACCCACUGCUGGCUAUAAAGAUUUGGAGACCUGGGCUUGAGUUCCAGCUGAGCUGCCUUCUGGCUAUUCCCUGGGGAAGCCACCUCACCUCCCUAGAGCCUCUGCUUCCUCAUCCAAGACUGGGGGUAUAGCUGUGCUCACCC